This 1240-nucleotide long non-coding RNA is filed under the name Carassius auratus (goldfish). RNAcentral's name for it is "lncRNA (ENSCARG00000063361.1)". Lineage: Eukaryota; Metazoa; Chordata; Actinopteri; Cypriniformes; Cyprinidae. The record is from RNAcentral.
UUAAGAUGAAUUGUAGUAUGUUAAUUCAAUUACAGAUAACUGCAGUAAUACAUAUCAAUUUAAUAUUGUUCAUAUUUAAUUCAAUUAAUUAUUUAAUUAUUAAUAUUAAAAAAUAUAUAUUGGGGAAUAUUGUGUUACCCUUUGAGCUGCCUUAUAAAUCAAUAAAUGAAAAACUACAACAGCAACAUCUCUGAGCAGCCCUCAGGCUCAAAAGUAUCGUUCUUAAUUGAUGGCCCCGCCCCCUGACCUCCAGCUGCACUCAGCGCGUGAUUGUGUUCAAGAUGAGUGAGCGGAGCAGUGUCCUGGAGCGCUUCAAGAGAAGACUGGAGCGACUGAGAGCUCAUCAUAAUCGAUGCGCAGCCUUUACAGUGCAGUCAAAAGAUAUGGAAGAUGAGGAGCCAGAGAGUGAUUCCUUUGAAUCUGAAGUGUCCAGCUGUUCUGGAUUAGAUCCAGAUUCCAAUCCAGAUUCCAAGAUUGCAUCAUCAUGCAGUGAAGAUUCGAGUCCAGUCAAAGAUGCAUCAUAUAAGAGUCUGUCCAGUGAAGAGGAACUUGAAGGACCAGACAGAAGUCUGAGUGAGGAAGAUCAGAUAAGAGGUAAAUGCACCAUUAAAGAACAAAACAAACCCAUAACUUAUGUGAAAAGACACAAGAAACACCACAAGAAAAUCAAAGCAAAUAAAGACAAAUCAGCUGUGACUCUAAAAACGUGUACUAAAAGGGAAAACUGUAAACGAGCAUGGGACAAAAAACAUUAUUGCCUUUAAUGUAGCCAGGCACAAUCAAAGAUUUCAAGGCAUUUGGAGAGAAAGCAUAUAGAAGUCAAAGAUGUGGCAUAUGCCUUCAGCUUUCCAUUAAGAUCGAAAGAAAGAAAGACACUUCUGGAACAGCUGCGCAAUAAAGGAGACUUUAAACAUAAUGCAGAAGUUCUGGAGAAAGGCAGAGGACAAAUAGUUACAUGGAAGCAGCCCUCUGAAAAAGCUUCUGUAAAGGAUUACUUGCCUUGCCCAUAUUGUUUCGGCAGGUUCAGGAAAAAGGACCUGUGGAGACAUCAGUCCUCAUGCAAAACCAAGAAGUCAUGCAUGAAAAGUGAGACAAAAAGUACAUGAGGGAGAGUACAGAGUCGUGCUGCAUGCCUGCUUCCAAUAUCAGCCUCCCCCGAUGGAUGUCAGUCGAUCAUCAACAACAUGCGACAGGACGAUGUGUCAUUUCACAUCAGAAGGGAUUCCCUGAUUUGCAAGUA